Girardinichthys multiradiatus is the source of this 1391-nucleotide long non-coding RNA. RefSeq lists it as uncharacterized. Lineage: Eukaryota; Metazoa; Chordata; Actinopteri; Cyprinodontiformes; Goodeidae. The transcript has 2 exons. The record is from RefSeq and is a predicted model, not a curated record.
GCUGUGCAAGGUACAAGCAAAGACCAUUAGGAGGAAAAAAAGGCGAGAGAGGACAGGGAGGGGUGAGGAAACACAAGGAAACAUGAGUUGAAUUCUUUCCACAAGCUGCAGUGCGCAGGAUUUGGUACGUCUGACGUCUUUUACCUCAGGAGCCUCAGCAGGAAGCAGGGAAACAGGGAAAGGAGAUUUCCAUCUACAGUAACGGUGACUCAGCCCGAGCGAGGCCUUGAACUUGGACGCAGUCGUUCCAAAUGGUUAAUGGCAACGUCUGAGCAGGACCCAAAUCCCCCCACCCCCAAACUGGCCCAAGCCCACACAUGGCCCCGAGACAGAAUGAGAACCAGAAGGGAGAUUAUCAUCUACACCUUCAACAUGUGACGGAUUUAACAUGAGAGGCGAGGAGACCGCAGAGAGAGACGGUGAACUCAGAUACCCUCGCCUUGCAACAACAGCCGUUUUCUUGUCGCAGCUCCUAUGAGCUGUGUUACAGGGAGCAGAAAAAAAAGAGGAGGAUGGAGGACAAGGGAGAGCAGGGAAAAAUUCCAAAAAGAUUUAUUCCUUUCUCGUUUUCUCUCCGUGUCACUCUCCCGCUCUGUCUUGUUCCCCUGCUCCUAAAUUUGACUAUUAAACAGCACUGCAAAAACAGAAUGUUCUUGGCUGGAGCUCAACAAUGACAAAGUGGGGAGGGGAAAAUGGCCAUACAUUCAGCAGAAAAUAUCAUCUAUUUUCAGUAUACUUAGCCAUGACUAAUGUACAAGUUAGGGCCUUGAAACAUGAAAGUCUUAAAAAAUGUAAAAGAAAGGCCCUGAUGGGGACUUUUUUCAUUUAAAAAUGUCUAAACUAUGAGACAUAAAGGGCAGAGGUUUAACACUGUAAAAUGGGAUCUUUAACGUUUGCUAAUUCUGUAUAUUAAUAACAUCAUAAUCACUGUUUUUAUACUCUUCCCCAUCACCUACAAACUUUUGAUGUAGCUGAGUAUUUGUUUUACGUUUGUUUCUGAUGUUUCAAUCCUUGCCUUAAUUUAAAUUUAGAGAAAGCUUUAAAAAUUAACUUUUGUUAGCUUAAAUUGGACAACUUUCACCCAUAUUUAGACACGAUAGGGAUAUUUGAAUCCCAGAGAAACAUGAAGGCAAAAUUAAAUGUUCUCAGGCCAAAUAAAAAACUCUGGUAACAUUUAUUUUCUAAAAAAUGGUUGGGUUUCAACUAAAUAUGAUUGGGUUUCAAAUCAAUUAUUUCUUUAUGUGACAUUUUUUCCUGCACUGAAAAGGAAUGCAAAUGAAUUUAAAUAAAAGGCUGGACUUGCUCCUAAAAUGAAUGAGCAAUUUAUUUAAGGCUUUUCACCAAUAAUGUCUUCCUUUUUACAAAAUAAAGAAAUAAAAUUAAAAAAGCAA